Molecule: non-coding RNA, 223 nt
Organism: Ciona intestinalis (vase tunicate)
Lineage: Eukaryota; Metazoa; Chordata; Ascidiacea; Phlebobranchia; Cionidae
Source: RefSeq, a predicted model, not a curated record
UUUAUUUCAAGUUUAUGAAUUGAACCUUCACCAAGAAUCGCGCAAAGUUCGUUUAAUCUUCGCUGCAUCUUCGGAACCCCUGCCAGGUUAUGCUAACUGACUUCUCUUGAAAAGUAAUGUUCACCCACAAACCCUUGUUUAAAUGCAAGGUGAGGCGGGGAUACUUAGAUGCACAGUUAUUUGUUCCCAAUAUUUACUGAUUAAUGCAUUGCACAAAAAAAAG